RNAcentral lists this ribosomal RNA (292 nucleotides) under uncultured bacterium. RNAcentral describes it as "partial 16S ribosomal RNA". It matches the Rfam family "Bacterial small subunit ribosomal RNA", at positions 505 to 796 of the family's 1533-position model. The record is from RNAcentral.
GUGCCAGCAGCCGCGGUAAGACAGAGGGUGCAAACGUUGUUCGGAAUUACUGGGCGUAAAGCGCGUGUAGGCGGCAGGGCAGGUCGGAUGUGAAAUCCCGUGGCUCAACCACGGAAGUGCACCCGAAACCGCCCAGCUAGAGUCUCGGAGAGGAAGGUGGAAUGCUUGGUGUAGAGGUGAAAUUCGUAGAUAUCAAGCAGAACACCGGUGGCGAAGGCGGCCUUCUGGACGAUGACUGACGCUGAGACGCGAAAGCGUGGGGAGCAAACAGGAUUAGAUACCCGGGUAGUCC